GACGAACGCUGGCGGCGUGCUUAACACAUGCAAGUCGAACGAUGAAGCCGGAGCUUGCUCUGGUGAAUUAGUGGCGAACGGGUGAGUAACACGUGAGUAACCUGCCCUUGACUCUGGGAUAACUGCGGGAAACUGUAGCUAAUACCGGAUACGACCCUCGGAGGCAUCUCCUGGGGGUGGAAAGAAUUUCGGUCAAGGAUGGACUCGCGGCAUAUCAGAUAGUUGGUGAGGUAAAGGCUCACCAAGGCGACGACGGGUAGCCGGCCUGAGAGGGUGACCUGGCAGACUGGGACUGAGACACGGGCCAGACUCCUACGGGAGGCAGCAGUAGGGAAUAUUGCACAAUGGGCGCAAGCCUGAUGCAGGAACGCCGCGUGAGGGAUGACGGCCUUCGGGUUGUAAACCUCUUUUAGCAGGGAAGAAGCGAAAGUGACGGUACCUGCAGAAAAAGCACCGGCUAACUACGUGCCAGCCGCCGCCUAA
RNAcentral lists this ribosomal RNA (483 nucleotides) under uncultured bacterium. RNAcentral's name for it is "partial 16S ribosomal RNA". It matches the Rfam family "Bacterial small subunit ribosomal RNA", at positions 28 to 522 of the family's 1533-position model. The record is from RNAcentral.